Chiroxiphia lanceolata (lance-tailed manakin) is the source of this 280-nucleotide long non-coding RNA. RefSeq lists it as uncharacterized. The transcript is spliced from 3 exons. Lineage: Eukaryota; Metazoa; Chordata; Aves; Passeriformes; Pipridae. The record is from RefSeq and is a predicted model, not a curated record.
AGGAAAACUGAUCUGUCAAGACUUUAUGAUUUACCUUCUUCUUGAUACUUAUACUGCACUGGUCACCUCCACAGGGCAGUAGGUGGUUGCUGGCUUCCAUCCCAAGUGCUCUGUAGCUGCAGUUCUUACUCGGACUACACUUUGAUUUGACUGGUGAUGAUUUGUCACCUCUACACAAAUGCCGAAGAUGCAUGACUGACUUUGAAAGGAUAAGAAAGGAGAAACUAUAGAUUUACAGAAAUACCCAUGGCCCUGGCCCUAAGUCUGAGCAAGACUGGCU